CACCGAUACAUUUGCUUUGCCUUGCACUGGUUCAUAUUUCGACACAAGCUUCGAAGCAGGAGGGCCGGAGGCAGAAGAGGAAGAGCAAGUGGAGAUGAUGUCUGCAUCUUUUACAAAUAAGUAAAAAGCAGGCUCAAAUUUACAAACAGUGCGAGUGAGUUUUGGGUGAAAAACAGUGAUUCCUCUGAUGUCUCUAUACUCUUUGGCCGGGUGAUUCAACGUAUAGACAACAGAAGGUGGAUCAGCACCCUAGAGAGAGGGCUAGCGCAAAUCGUGGCACCGGCAACUCGCUGAGGCACUUGAUGCAGGAUGCGAUGCCGCGGCGAAUCGUGGCAGCUGCCUCAAGUUUACGCCAACUGCCUCGUCUGUUGCCUCGGCUGAGUGAGGUACCUCGAGCGGUACCACGAAUUCAGGGGCCGGUUCAUCGGUCGAGAGAGGUAUCUCUAGCGGUACCUCAAGUUAAAGGAGUCUUGCCACGACCUGCAACAACCAAAGGGAGCUGUGCCUUGGCUGAUGUAGGUACCGGGAGUUUAAGGGAGA
Non-coding RNA from Gasterosteus aculeatus aculeatus (three-spined stickleback), 540 nucleotides. NCBI's taxonomy places the organism in Eukaryota, Metazoa, Chordata, Actinopteri, Perciformes, Gasterosteidae. The record is from RefSeq and is a predicted model, not a curated record.